Molecule: ribosomal RNA, 440 nt
Filed under: uncultured bacterium
Lineage: Bacteria
Description: partial 16S ribosomal RNA
Rfam family: Bacterial small subunit ribosomal RNA
Source: RNAcentral
CCUACGGGGGGCAGCAGUAGGGAAUAUUGCUCAAUGGGGGAAACCCUGAAGCAGCAACGCCGCGUGGAGGAUGAAGGUUCUCGGAUUGUAAACCCCUUUUGUUAGAGAAGAUAAUGACGGUAUCUGACGAAUAAGCAACGGCUAACUCCGUGCCAGCAGCCGCGGUAAUACGGAGGGUGCAAGCGUUAUCCGGAAUCACUGGGCGUAAAGAGCGCGUAGGCGGGAUAGCAAGGCAGUUGUGAAAUCCUAUGGCUUAACCAUAGAACUGCAUUUGAAACUGUUAUUCUAGAGUAUGGGAGAGGUAGGUGGAAUUCUUGGUGUAGGGGUGAAAUCCGUAGAGAUCAAGAGGAAUACUCAUUGCGAAGGCGACCUGCUAGAACGUAACUGACGCUGAGGCGCGAAAGCGUGGGGAGCAAACAGGAUUAGAUACCCGUGUAGUC